CCGCCCCUUUCUUUAUUUUUCCCUCUUCUCUUUUCCUAUCCGUGUCCUCCGACCUCCCUCUCUCUCUCUGACCAGCCGUCUCUCCUCUCCUCUCUCUGCGACUCACUCUCUCUCCUCUCUCCCCUCUCCCCUCUCACCGAUCUGCAACGUUCGCCUCCUCUCAGUCUCAGUUCUCAUCCCUCUCAAACCGAAUUUGACUAUACCGGCUCGACAUGGACUUGGUGCAGUGAAUCUAGUAGUGGCAGCUUGGUGAAGCCAUUCUCUAAGUGGAUAAGGGGUUUAUGUUCUUGCACAAACUGAAUCUCUGAAACUUCACCCCAAGAGUACUUUACUGGAAUACCGGGUUCAAAUGCUGCAAAAUUUACUUCCGAUUCCAAUGGCGCAAAGGAAUGGUUGAAACUCAUUUGUGAACUCUUAUUCUUCUGAGAAUCAGGAAGGUUGACUGCAGGUGCCUUAGCUUCUACCACUGGCUCUGAAACUAUGCUCCUGAGAUCGUCUUCAUGGCUGCUGGAAUCCACAUUCUGGAGAAGUAAGUUACUGCCGCAAAUUCUGUAGCUUCCAUUCCGAACAUUAUUUUUAUGAACACUGGUCGAGCUCUGAAGGCCAAAACUUACUGGAGGAUCUUUUAGAGACAGUACCAUUGAACUUUGCUAAGGAACACCUUAAGAAUGAGGGUUCUGUCAUUCUUAUGAUUCCAGAUAGAGGAUUUUGGUCUAUUAAAUUUGAAAUAAAGCACAAAAACUAUAGCAAAAGGAGAGCUGAAUUUAGUUGUGGUUGGAAAGUCUUUGCCAAGGACAAUUAUUUGAAAGUUGGCGAUGUCUGCAUUUUCGAGCUUCUUAAGAGAGAUGAAAAUGUAUUCAAGGUUUCCAUUGAUUGUGCUGUUGAUUAUGCAUUCAACUAAAAUCUCAAGCUGGUGGAAUCAAAGCAAAGCCAAAAGGAGAAGUGAGAGAAGUUACUGAGUUGUUUUUUGAAAUAUGUUUGCAUAAUGGAGAACUUGCUAUGCUUUAAAACUCAAAACUAAAUAUGGUGAAUGAAUCUAUGAGUAAAGGAUCAGAUACCUCAUAAGAUUAAUUAUAUAUAUAUAUAUGUAUAUAUAUAUAUCAUAUUUUAAGUACAGUUGUCUUACGUUGUUAAUAUGAACCAUUUCUAUAAAACUAAGUAGAUGUCUAUAUAUCUCCCUUUUAUUAGAUACAAAUAUUCAAAAUAGGUAAGCUUGAUUACCAACCAAUCAUGUUUUUUCUAGUGGAGCUUCUGAUCCUAUUUGCAAUGAAAUUUCCAGCUUUUGUUCUGUUUUGGUUUCUACAAUAAUAGGCUUUUUUUCUUUCUUCUCUACAAAUAAUAUAUGUAUAUAUAUUGUUUUCUUCUCUUUAUGUUAUAAAUUAUUCUCUAUUCCUCUUCUCUUCAGAAUAUGUGAGUACUAAGGCCAAUUGUUAUAUAUAAGACAAAUAUGAGAAUGAGUUGCCAGAAGUAUACUAUAUAUAUAUAUCAGACAGAAAACUGGAGGCGGUGGAUACACAAAAGAAAACGUUGCUCGAUGUUGGACUGUUGAAACUGGAGUUCUUCUAGACACAACUUCCAAAUGAGAUCCCAGCUAAGGAUUACAUUCUAUAUUUCGGCCCAGAAUAUUCAUUGAAGAUUCCACAUGGGCACAUAAUAAGUCAUUUUAAAACUUCUUUGUUAUUGAGAUUAUAUAUUUCUUGUACACAUAGAUACUGUCCCUUGCUAUACUGCAAACAAGCUAGCUUUUGUUUUGUCAAAUAAUGCAAUGUUAUAUUUUCCAUUAAAUAUAUUUGUUUCCUUGCUUUCUCUUAAUUUUCUUGUGUGGAUUGUCAAUUAUGCAGGAUAAUGCGAACACUAAAUCAUAUCUUAGUACGAUCAAAGUGCAGGUCUUGGAGAAUCUUCGUCACAUUCAACAUGCUCCUAGUGUUCAAAUGCAGGAGGUUCCUUCAGACUUCUAUAUCCCUGAUUUUGAUGAAGAUGAGCAGAACCCAGACGAACGAGUAGAUCGUAAGUGAAAAUUCAAAAAAUUUAAAAACACACCAACACACCUUUUGUUUUCCAUGGCCACUACUUCAAGCCUUUUCACUUCCACUGCUUUCUUAUUGUUUAAUUAUUUAAUUCAGAUUUGACUCACUUUCAUUAUAUAUUAUAACAUUGUAAAUGUGUGUAUGUGCUGAGACAAACUUCAAAUAAUUUUUUUUUGCAACAGUUUGCAAGAGGUAUGCUUCUAACUUUUAUUUUAAUACUAUGCAAAUGUUAGAGGAGUUUGAAUAUCUUAAAUAUUCAUCCAUAGUGAAGUAGGUUCUGGGAUUGUUACUGUGUGCUGCGGUGAUAACGGAAGGUUGAGAACUUAUGUGUUUUAGUGAAGUAGGAUCUGAGAAAUUUGUGUGUUGCGGAGAUAAGGAAGAAAACUUGUGUGUUGUUUGAAUUGAUAUUGGCAGAUGGUUGGUUGCUAGUAUGGGGAAAAUGUUGUUCGAUUUUAUGUAGACUUGUCUAUGAUUAUCCUAUAAUUGAAUUAUGUUUGUUUGAUUGACUUGAUUAUAACAUAUACUUGUAUGAAUGUACUUGUUGCGUGUUGACAUACACAUAUAGCAUAACCUUUUGUACUUCUUGUUUUACAUAUGUUAGUUUUCUUCUUGUCCCUUGUCUAAUGUCUUUGGUGAGGUGAUUUACAACAUUGAACAUCACUUUUGGUUUUUGUGAUCACGUUUAGGUUCAAUAGUAUAAAGUGUUAUACAAAAGUUUGACAUUAUUAGUAUAUUGGUUGAUAAUUUAUAGUUAUAUUGGAUUCUAAGUUUCAUUCUUUUGGACUAGCAUGUAUUGAUUUUAUCAGCUUCAGGGUAUAUUUUUGUUUUAGUGCCAGUGCUUAAUUUUUUUAGAUUUAUUGAUUUUAGUGUAUAUUAUGUAUUUAUAUUUUUUGUUGGAUACUUUGCUUCUGAUUUUGCUAUGUUUAUUCAAAUUCAGGGUAUAUAUAUAUAAACUUUUCUGUUGGUGGCUUUUGGUACAAGUUAUGCUAAUAAUAAUUAAUUAUGUGAGUAAUUUUUUAUUUAAAUUUAUAUCAAACUUUAAUUGUUUAAAAUAUAAUUAAAAGUUUUAAAAAACAUAUAUUGAAAAAUUAUUAUUUAUAUAUAUAAAUUUAAUUUUACGGCGACAUCUAAUAACUAUCAGCGUUUCUAUUAACAGUGACACCUAAUAACUGUUGGCGUUGCUAGCAACGGCGACACCUAUUAACUGUCGGUGUUGCCAGUAAUGGUGACAACUAUUAACUGUCAGUGUUGCUAGCAACGGCGACACUUAUUAACUGUCGACGCUGCCAGCAACGGCGACACCUAUUAACUGUCGGCAUAGCCAGCAACAAUGACACUUAUUAAUUGUUGUCGUAGCUACCCCUACGCCGGCAUAGGCAAAAAUGAAAGUUAGUCGACUGUCGUCAUUGCUCAAUAGCGACAGAUAAAAACUGUCGGGAAAACCUGUUUUUGUAGUAAUGUCACUAAUGUAAUUUUAGUCAAAAUUUAUUAUAUUUAGUGAUAAAAAUUGUUUUGACCAAAAAUAUGUUUAGUCACAACAAAUUGUAAUGUUUGUGACUAAAAUAGUAACGUAAUUUGACAAUUGGAUACAAUAUGGUUGUAACACCAUUAUUUUCUCAUAAAAUAAAUACACAAUCCAGUGUUGAAACAUAAAAACAUAAAUGUUGCCCUUUAUUGAAAAAUAUACGACUUCAAACAGGAUCCCAGUUUUACAACAUAAAAGAUGUCUUAAAAAUAGAAAUACAACAACAUUUAUUUUUAGAGUAAUAAAUUACAAAUUAAGAAACAAAAAUAUAAGCUUUAGAUCUUCUAGCAGCUAUAUGGCCUUCACGAAUACACAUGCAACUAUCUAGGUCCAACUCGCCACUGGUCAUCUAUCUCUUUACUUAUUUUGAUAUGCACAGAUAUACUAUAAGGAGUGAGCUUCUAAACCCAAUAAGGAAAAUACAACCAUAACAAACAUACAAACAAUAUUUAUACAUAUCACAGAUAUUUCAUUAUUCAACAAUACCAUAUAAGCUUCAUAUUACUAUAAUAACACUAUCAUACAAGAGAAUCACAAUCACACAUAACCAUACAAUUCUAAAGUCAUAUUCAUAAACUUAAUAUUCUCAUAAUCAUAUUAGAUAUAAACGAAUCAGUCAAGUAUAGAUAAUGUGCUUAUAAAGUUUGGACAUCUGAGCCCUAUUGACAUCACUUAGAUCCAUUAUACAACUUUUGGACAUCACAUAGGUCCAUAUAUGAGCUUCACUUAGGUCCAGCCACACUUAUAUUCUUGUACUUGAAAUGUUAGUGUCAUAACAUUUACUUAAGGUCAUAAUCUAAAUCCAUUUGAUUUUCCUUACUUUGAAUGUGGCGAAAAAGAAUAGAGAGAUUGCUCUUAAAUACUAGUGGAUCACGCCCAACACCUUACACAUAAAAAUAAAGACUAAAAUUAGGACCUAAAAUAUAAAUUAAUUUCACAAUCUAAAACCUUUUUAGAAACCAAACCUUAACCCUUGAAACAAGAUAACACAAUCCUAAUAUCCCGAGCCUUUGAGAGAACAACAAAUUUCUUUGAAAUAAAUAGGGUUUGAACUUUAUGAUGCUUUAUAAAUAGUAUAAUGUUUUGGCUAGAAAUGAUGACUUGGGCUAAGGUAUAUUUCGGCCAAGUGAGGGAAUAAUGAUGGUAAUAGUGACAAAGCUAGGUUUGGAACACAAGAGAAAGAUAGAAGAAGAAUUCGAACACCACUAGGGUUCUUGGUGGUUUCGGCUAUGUGGAGUGUUUGUGAGCAAAAAUAGAAGAACUUGAGAGAAGAUAAUAUUGCUUAACAAUUUUUGAAAAAUAGAGAAGCUAUGACUUUGAUUUUGUGAAAAUGAAGAGCACCAAUGCUUUAUUUAUAGGCUCUAAACUCCAACUCUUUUCCUUAAUCUUCUCCACUAUCAUCAAACAAGUUUUUAAAAAUUGAAUUUCCCUCCUCUAAGUAGUUUUGGCCAAGCCUGUUCAACACCCUAGUCUUUUGCUAAAGUUCCUUUCUUAACGCCACAUACUCCCUGUUAAUGUCUGUUUAGACUUUGUCUUGUUUUGAAAAAAUUAUGUCUAUUGUUUUGUUUGAGCUGGUUUCUGUUUUAUCAAUUUGUUAUAUGUGCUAUCCGCAAAUUUGAUUGGUUAGUUUGUUGUAAGCUCACGUGGCCGUGUGAUGGUUGCUUACUAUAAAUAGACUAAUGGGUUGAUUAGAACAAACUAACUCUGAAAAGACAAACCCUAGAAUUUUGUGUUCUUGGUUCAAUCAUUUUUGUUUCAGGUAGAGGAACUCAAGGUUGAAGAAGAAGCUGAAGAAAUAUGGUUGGGUGUUGUAGAUCGAAGAGGAAGAAAAAGCUUGGUUCAGAUAGAAACUGGAGGGAUUUCAGUCAGGUCUUUGAAGGGAGUUCAAAGAGUGUGAUCUAUUGAAGCUUGCAAGUUUAUAGUUUUUUUUUCAUUAUUUACUUGUUUCAUUAAACAAAUUGUAUAAUGAAACUUUGAAAGACUGUAUGUAUGUAUUUCUCAUUUUCUUGAAGUAUUUAAGAUUUGUAAUAUCUUUCUUAGAUAAAGAAAUUGAUGUCUC
Molecule: long non-coding RNA, 5611 nt
Organism: Humulus lupulus (European hop)
Lineage: Eukaryota; Viridiplantae; Streptophyta; Magnoliopsida; Rosales; Cannabaceae
Exons: 5
Source: RefSeq, a predicted model, not a curated record